CAGUCGCCGCGGUAAUACGUAGGGUGCGAGCGUUAUCCGGAAUUAUUGGGCGUAAAGAGCUCGUAGGCGGUUUGUCGCGUCUGCUGUGAAAACUGGAGGCUCAACCUCCAGCCUGCAGUGGGUACGGGCAGACUAGAGUGCGGUAGGGGAGAUUGGAAUUCCUGGUGUAGCGGUGGAAUGCGCAGAUAUCAGGAGGAACACCGAUGGCGAAGGCAGAUCUCUGGGCCGUAACUGACGCUGAGGAGCGAAAGCAUGGGGAGCGAACCGGAUUAGAGACCCCUGUAGUCCCUGUCUCUUAUAC
Molecule: ribosomal RNA, 301 nt
Filed under: uncultured bacterium
Lineage: Bacteria
Description: partial 16S ribosomal RNA
Rfam family: Bacterial small subunit ribosomal RNA
Source: RNAcentral